UACGGAGGGUGCGAGCGUUGUCCGGAAUCACUGGGCGUAAAGGGCGCGUAGGCGGCUCGGUAAGUAGGGGGUGAAAUCCUGCGGCUUAACCGCAGGGCUGCCUUCUAAACUGUCGAGCUCGAGCACGGUAGAGGCAGAUGGAAUUCCCGGUGUAGCGGUGGAAUGCGUAGAGAUCGGGAAGAACAUCAGUGGCGAAGGCGGUCUGCUGGGCCGUUGCUGACACUGAGACACGAAGGCCAGGGGAGCAAACGGG
Molecule: ribosomal RNA, 253 nt
Filed under: uncultured bacterium
Lineage: Bacteria
Description: partial 16S ribosomal RNA
Rfam family: Bacterial small subunit ribosomal RNA
Source: RNAcentral